Long non-coding RNA from Cervus elaphus (red deer), 2168 nucleotides. RefSeq lists it as uncharacterized. The transcript is spliced from 3 exons. NCBI's taxonomy places the organism in Eukaryota, Metazoa, Chordata, Mammalia, Artiodactyla, Cervidae. The record is from RefSeq and is a predicted model, not a curated record.
CCCUCGUGGAAGUGCUGCCUCCGAAUGAGUCAAGGGAGGGCGUGGCGGGCUCAGAGACAAGGCUACCCACCGACCCGGCACCAGUGACCCAGGUCGGACAGCCAUCACCACGGCGUAAGGCGGCAGCCACCCCUCCCGAUCACCCUGGGCAGUGUGGACUUGGCAGGGGACCAGGCCCUGGGGGGUUGGGUCUCCUCGCUUAGCAAGGACUGAUGAGAAGACGGGGCGCAGCAAUGGACGCCGAGUCAGUGACUCUGAAUCUAACAACCCACUCCCGUCUCAGCAGCCCACAGUCCCACAGGCCACGCUGAGGAACCAGGAAGGUGAACAUGCCCGGGGUCCAGCCAUGGGAGCACCGGGGUCAGCAGGAGGGAGCUCACAGAGGGCAGAAUCCAGGAUGUUCCGAGAGACUGGGGACUUGCCAUCUUGACACCCAGGACAUGUGGGCUCCAGGAGCCAUGCUGGCUAGGGACCCUGUCUGGGCCGUGUUCUGAGUUUAGAUGAGGAAACAGGAGCAACUGAAGCCAGGCCUGCAGAGGCCCAGCUGGUGCUACUGGAUCUCGUCAACAGCCUCAGUGAACACCCAUGAGCCUGCUGUGAGAGCUCUGGAGGUCAGAAGUCCUCACAUCAGAGUGUCCUUAUGCCUGCAUUCCUUCAGGAGGAUCUAGGAAAGAAUCAUUUUCUUGCCUUCUUCAGCUUCUAGAAGCAGCCAGCUUUCCUUGGCUCUUGAACUCAUCCAACACCUGGGGCGUAGCAGCUCUUAACCUCCCUCAUCUCUGCUCUGGUGUGUCCCCUCUUCCCACGGACUCUCCUGUCUUCUGCUUGAAGAAGCCUUCUGACUACUUUGGUCCCACUGGGAUAUCCAGGCCCAUCUCAAGAUCUUUAACUCAGCACAUCUGCCAAGUCCCGUUUGCCAUGUGAGGAAAUGUAGUCACAGGUUCUGGGCACUAGGACCCAUACAUUUUAGGCAGGCGGUAAACACUGUUUUGCCUACCAUGCUCAGAAAUGAAAGAACUUACCCAAGGUCUGAAGAGUUUGGUGAAGGUCAGAACUCAGGCUGCGGGGCCCCAGUUCUAUGUCCAAACCUAAGCCAGUCUCCUUAAAGAUUCUGUGCUGACUGGUCCAUUACACCUGGUUUGCUUUUCAUGCCAGUUCCACCACCUAGUAAAGGGGUGACCUUGGACAUGUAGCUUAAUGUCUCAGCACCUCAGUCUUCCUAUCUGUGAAAUGGGAUGAUGAGGAGAGCCACCACGAAGGCUCACUGAUUUUGCAAUAAGCCUGUGUCCUGACUGCACUGUCCCAGUCCUGGCAGUGAUCCCAGCUGCCCCACCCUCUACUCAUCCUAUUUAGAAAUGCAUGGAGUGAGGGCCAGAAGAGGGAAGGAGGAAUGCAUGCACCCAGCAGGACUGGUAACCAAAGAAGUGCCCUUGACCCCUGGAGCCCUUCUCCUGCCCCUCCCCAGAGCAGUGGGGUGGCCACUUUCUUGGCAUCUCCCCAGGGAAGGAAGCCUUUGAUACCUAACUGGGUCUCAGAAAGGGAACAAAGGGAUGCUUUUUGCAUGAAAAGCCACCUGCUGGCGCAGGGAAGAAACCCUGAUUCAUAGAGCUGGAUGUUUCAUGACUGCAGACUCAGGAAAGAAGCCCACCGGUCCGCCAGGAAAGAAGCCCACCGGUCCGCCAGCCUGGGUGGGUUGCCCACACAGAGGCACCAGAGAUUCGCUAAGUGUCCCACAGCUGGGAGGGAGGGUGACUUCAGAGGAGCUGCCAAGUUCUCUCCAAACAGAAGUUUAGGAUGGGGUAAGGAGAGGUUCCCAGGAGACUGAGAAGGCUUCCAGUGCAGGCGGUGGAGCCAGGCCUCCAAGGACCAUUCCUGUUGGAGAAAGAAAAGACGCUGUCCUGCCCAUCUCCAGGCCACAGCCCCACAGCAGGGAACUCCAUGACUGAAAAGAUAUCAGGGCCUCCCAGGCCACUGUCCUGAGGCUGCCUCCUCACUGUCUUGUGACCAAAAGUACUGAGUAUUUCCUUAGUUCAUGGUGCGAUGCUGGCCCUUAAAAGGCUAAUCAGGACCUUUAAUUAUGCAAGCAUGGUCAGAAAAAGUCAUGUGACUGCUUUCAUUUUCAUUGAGGGGCAGGGAAGAAUAUAUCUGAAUAAUUUUUACUUAUUGUUUGA